AUUGAACGCUGGCGGCAGGCCUAACACAUGCAAGUCGAGCGGAUGAAGGGAGCUUGCUCCUGGAUUCAGCGGCGGACGGGUGAGUAAUGCCUAGGAAUCUGCCUGGUAGUGGGGGAUAACGUCCGGAAACGGGCGCUAAUACCGCAUACGUCCUGAGGGAGAAAGUGGGGGAUCUUCGGACCUCACGCUAUCAGAUGAGCCUAGGUCGGAUUAGCUAGUUGGUGGGGUAAAGGCCUACCAAGGCGACGAUCCGUAACUGGUCUGAGAGGAUGAUCAGUCAGCCUGGAACUGAGAAACGGUCCAGACUCCUACGGGAGGCAGCAGUGGGGAAUAUUGGACAAUGGGCGAAAGCCUGAUCCAGCCAUGCCGCGUGUGUGAAGAAGGUCUUCGGAUUGUAAAGCACUUUAAGUUGGGAGGAAGGACAGUAAGUUAAUGCCUUGCUGUUUUGACGUUACCAACAGAAUAAGCACCGGCUAACUUCGUG
This 484-nucleotide ribosomal RNA is filed under the name uncultured bacterium. Its description in RNAcentral is "partial 16S ribosomal RNA". It matches the Rfam family "Bacterial small subunit ribosomal RNA", at positions 30 to 507 of the family's 1533-position model. The record is from RNAcentral.